UGUAGCUUAGAUAAAGCACCCCGCUUACACCGAGAAGACAUCUGCGAAACCCAGAUCAUUUUGA
This 64-nucleotide transfer RNA is filed under the name Hoplobatrachus crassus (Jerdons bullfrog). RNAcentral's name for it is "partial tRNA-Val". Lineage: Eukaryota; Metazoa; Chordata; Amphibia; Anura; Dicroglossidae. The record is from RNAcentral.